GUCCUUAGUUUGAAUGAGUUUUGAUUAUUUGUGUUUAAUUUGCAGUGUCGACGUCAAUUAGGCAGCUAUGAGUGUGGGUAUUACGUAAUGAAGCACAUGCACACCAUUAUUUGUACAAACAUUACUGAUUCAUGGGAUAAGAUCUUUGAUGAUUCAUCUCCAAUGGAAGUUCCACACAUUGAAGACAUUAGAACUAAGUGGGCUUCUUUUAUUUUAAGUGUUAGUAAAUUGUAGAAACUUGACUACAAUGUAGUGUAGGUUGAUGUUAUUUGGAUUUAAUAUGAUUUACAAAUUAUGUAUUAGAUAUUAUUGAACAA
Molecule: long non-coding RNA, 317 nt
Organism: Vigna radiata var. radiata (mung bean)
Lineage: Eukaryota; Viridiplantae; Streptophyta; Magnoliopsida; Fabales; Fabaceae
Exons: 2
Source: RefSeq, a predicted model, not a curated record